UAAUAGUUAGUUUUUUAAUUGGAAUCUUGUAUGAAUGGUUGGACAAAAGAAAUUCUGUCUCUAUAAUUUUUAUUGAAUUUAACUUCUGAGUGAAAAGGCUUAGAUAUUUUAAAAAGACGAUAAGACCCUAUAAAGCUUUAUAGUUAAAUUUACUUGAUUAAAUUAAUAAAUAAAAUUUUAGUGGAUUAAACUAUUUUAUUGGGGAGAUAAAAUUAUAAUUUUAAAUAACUGUUAAUGAAUAAUACAAUUUUAUAGGUGAAUGAUAAUAGUAGUAGAUCCUUUAUAGAGAUUAAAAGUUUAAGUUACUUUAGGGAUAACAGCGUUAUUUUUUUUGAGAGUUCAUAUCGAAAAAAAAGAUUGCGACCUCGAUGUUGAAUUAAAAUUUCUAAAUAAUUGCAGAAGUUAUUUUAGAGGGUCUGUUCGACCUUUAAAUUUUUAC
This 439-nucleotide ribosomal RNA is filed under the name Pinnotheres pectunculi. RNAcentral's name for it is "partial 16S ribosomal RNA". The stretch from base 313 to 439 matches the Rfam family "Bacterial large subunit ribosomal RNA", at positions 2473 to 2599 of the family's 2925-position model. The record is from RNAcentral. Lineage: Eukaryota; Metazoa; Arthropoda; Malacostraca; Decapoda; Pinnotheridae.